This 459-nucleotide ribosomal RNA is filed under the name uncultured Solibacillus sp. Its description in RNAcentral is "partial 16S ribosomal RNA". It matches the Rfam family "Bacterial small subunit ribosomal RNA", at positions 341 to 792 of the family's 1533-position model. Lineage: Bacteria; Bacillati; Bacillota; Bacilli; Caryophanales; Caryophanaceae. The record is from RNAcentral.
ACGGGAGGCAGCAGUAGGGAAUCUUCCACAAUGGGCGAAAGCCUGAUGGAGAAACGCCGCGUGAGUGAAGAAGGAUUUCGGUUCGUAAAACUCUGUCGCAAGGGAAGAACAAGUAGCGUAGUAACUGGCGCUACCUUGACGGUACCUUGUUAGAAAGCCACGGCUAACUACGUGCCAGCAGCCGCGGUAAUACGUAGGUGGCAAGCGUUGUCCGGAAUUAUUGGGCGUAAAGCGCGCGCAGGUGGUUUCUUAAGUCUGAUGUGAAAGCCCACGGCUCAACCGGGGAGGGUCAUUGGAAACUGAGAGACUGGAGUGCAGAAGAGGAAAGUGGAAUUCCAAGUGUAGCGGUGAAAUGCGUAGAGAUUUGGAGGAACACCAGUGGCGAAGGCGACUUUCUGGACAGUAACUGACGCUGAGGCGCGAAAGCGUGGGGAGCAAACAGGAUUAGAUACCCUGGUA